RNAcentral lists this ribosomal RNA (464 nucleotides) under uncultured bacterium. Its description in RNAcentral is "partial 16S ribosomal RNA". It matches the Rfam family "Bacterial small subunit ribosomal RNA", at positions 28 to 507 of the family's 1533-position model. The record is from RNAcentral.
GACGAACGCUGGCGGCGUGCUUAACACAUGCAAGUCGAACGGAAAGGCCCUGCUUGCAGGGUACUCGAGUGGCGAACGGGUGAGUAACACGUGGGUGAUCUGCCCUGCACUUCGGGAUAAGCCUGGGAAACUGGGUCUAAUACCGGAUAGGAGCCAUUUUUAGUGUGAUGGUUGGAAAGUUUUUUCGGUGUAGGAUGAGCUCGCGGCCUAUCAGCUUGUUGGUGGGGCAAUGGCCUACCAAGGCGGCGACGGGUAGCCGGCCUGAGAGGGUGGACGGCCACAUUGGGACUGAGAUACGGCCCUGACUCCUACGGGAGGCAGCAGUGGGGAAUAUUGCACAAUGGGCGCAAGCCUGAUGCAGCGACGCCGCGUGGGGGAUGACGGCCUUCGGGUUGUAAACUCCUUUCGCUAGGGACGAAGCUUUUGUGACGGUACCUAGAUAAGAAGCACCGGCUAACUACGUG